UAAGAGGCAGGCUCUGGAUUCCCAAUGGCAAGGCUGGGCGAGGGGUCUGGAGCCUCAGCCUUCCCAUGUGGACAGGGGGACAGGACUGCCCUCCCAUCUCCUAGGGCCACUGCAUCCGGCUCUCAUCAGCCAGCAGUCUGGUUUUCUUGCCCCACAGAAGGCAGCCUCUAAUUCCUUCUCUUGCCCCUGCAUAAGGGAAAAUGUCUUCUCUGCCCAGAGAUUUCCUCAAAGCCCUUCCAUGGAUGGAAAUUUCAGAUCCAUUUUAGCUCCUGGUGAGAGCUUUGGGGUCACCAUGCUGCUGACAUAAGAGAGGACUGAAGAAGGUGGGGGCUGCACACACCCAGGAGCCCCAGCCUUCACCCCAGGGCUCCCACAGUGCAGAGAUCUAGAAGGAGCCUGGAAUUUGGAGUCAGGUAAAACUGACCUUGAGACUUGGCUCCUGCAGCUGUGUGACCUUGGGAGAGCUGAGACAUAAACACCACCCCGUCUGACUGCACACAAGGUCCUGGAAGUUACCACCUGAGAGUGAGUGAGAAAGGCUGAAAAUGUAGUGAAUGAGACCAGUCACCUACUGUGAUGGACACCCAGCUGAGCAUGUGACUGAAGGCCCUCUCCCACCUGGAUGGCCGGGGCGUCCCUCACGGAGAGAGACUGGGGAGGGGGUAAUGCUGGGGAGAAGCCUGGCCGCCAGAAGGGGGUGAGCUGCACAGCCCCUCUAAAGAGGGGGGCCGGGCAAACACGGCGAUCUCACAGCAUCCUGGGCACAUGGCACCUGAGGAGGAGACCUGUCCUCGCAGGGAAGGUGAGGUCAUAAAUAUUCAACUAAACGACUGAAGCUCAGGGAUGCUGCAUGAGGGCUCAUUAUACCAUUCUCUCUACUUUUGUGUAGAUAUGACUUUUGCCAAAAUAAAAAGUGAAA
Molecule: long non-coding RNA, 919 nt
Organism: Diceros bicornis minor
Lineage: Eukaryota; Metazoa; Chordata; Mammalia; Perissodactyla; Rhinocerotidae
Exons: 3
Source: RefSeq, a predicted model, not a curated record